Molecule: long non-coding RNA, 1910 nt
Organism: Helianthus annuus (common sunflower)
Lineage: Eukaryota; Viridiplantae; Streptophyta; Magnoliopsida; Asterales; Asteraceae
Exons: 8
Source: RefSeq, a predicted model, not a curated record
CAAAACCCAGUAAAAAACCCACCGCCCGUUGUUCACAAACCCUGAAACCCAUCACGCAUGAAAACUAACAGAGAGAAAGUGGGGGUGGCAUAAAGAAGAGAGGGCUCAUGAAGGAACAUCGUCAAACUCCGGCGAUAACAACGGUUGUUUCUAGGGUUUUGAGACACGGCAGCGGCUUUGAAGGUCCGCCGCUGAUGACGACGGUGAUGGUGGAUUCGAGGUGGGUUUACAACUGAUUCGAGGUUGUUUGUGCUGCUAAGCAAGUGAAAAAGGUGAUCCGACGAAAUCAAGCGACAGCGAUUUCAACGCUAGAUCGGGAUCUUUUUUCCCAUCAUACCUGGUACUGUGGUUAAUUUUAAAUACACGGUCUUCAUACUUUUUGCUGUUAAUUUGUAGUUACAAAGUGAUAAUUUGCUCGGAUCUGCUUAGAAUUUUAUUGCUCCAUGAUUUUAAAAAUCUGGUGAUGGGAGUGUUGAGCUGUGUAGUGAGCAAAAUAUAAUGAUUGUUCUAGCGCCAUUAUUUAACUUCACUUUCGAUUGUGUUUGUGGUGCAAGUUCUCGAUAGUGUUUCCACCAUUUGAUAUAGUGUAAGCUACGUGUAACGGUGUAAGCAACUUUGAUGCUAGCUACAAUAGUAUAAAGCCCUGUGAGCCUGCAAGUGAUUCUUGCAUUCUGUCAAGAAGAAAAGUGCAUAGAGAACAUGGAAGGUUUGAUAAAGAAUAUGUGAUGCGGUGAGAAAGUUGGGCCAGAACCGUAAAUGCCUUUGUGUCGUUAUGUUGUCUAGAACUGCCAAGAGUGGGGUGAAGCUAGAGAUUGUUAUGACCAUUCCGAAACAGUGCAAUAUAGCUGAUCGUCCUGUUGGUUAUCAAGUGGAGCUUAUAUAGUGCCUUGAAAACUUGAAGGCUAUUAGUUUCGACGGAAGCUGUACCAGUCUUGUGCCAAGCGCAAGAGAGAGAGAGAAAGAAAUUACGGUAGAGAGAGGGAGAAAGAGGGAGAGAGAGGCAGGGAGGAGAAACGACGGCGUCGUUUAGGGUUCCGCCGCAAACACAACGCCGGUGGCGACUAUGGUUGACGUUGCAAGCUCCGGUUCUGUCAAGAGAAGAAUAUUUGAUACUUUUUCAGCAUAAUUCGGUAAUCUUGAAUCGGUUCCGGUGAAGCUCCGAUGAACCGUUCAACACUUACAUGUCUCAGAUCUGUUUAGAUCGGUGACUCUCAGGCCACCAUCGAUGGGUUAGGUUUCACGGCUUUCCCAUUGAUUGAGGAUAUCUCAGGAGCCACGCGAUGACAUUGUGGUUGUAGUAGAUUUAGAUGGCGAUGAAAGGUUAAUGUGGUGAUUUUGAAAGUGUUUUGGUCUCGAAAUAUUUUCUCAAUUUGUUAGUGGGAGGGAGCUGUGGCACAUGAAGACUUUGAGGGGAAUAAAGUGACUAUUGGAGCUGGUGAUUUGCAGUGGAUGACUGACAGAUAGACAUAAGAGGGAUGGGAAUCAUUGGGACGGCUACUCGUGUAUGGAUUGAUAGAUAAAAAUUAUUGAGCUUUGGAAACCCAAAACAUAUCGGAUGGGGCUUCUGGUGUGGAAGUGAUAAAAAAGUCAAGGGUCGAGUUCGGUAUCAGGUGAUACCUUAGCCGAGUAAAAGGUUGCGAGCAUGCAUACUUUUUUGUCACUGUCGAUCACGAUUUCAUUUCUCAUUUUUAUUAACAGAUCUCUUUCGUCUAGGGUUUUUGAAGACUAUUAAGAUGCUUUCAAUGAUGACUGUGAGCCUCAGACUCAAAGAUCAUGAUGUAUGAUUUAGAUGCAUAGACAGGUUACCAUCUUCGGUAUAGAAAGGACUUUGUACAACAUUUAUUGUUAUUUUUUUUAUUUUUGGCACUAACUAGGCGGAAUACUUUAUAAAACAAAUAUUUUAAUUCGUC